Molecule: long non-coding RNA, 563 nt
Organism: Macrobrachium nipponense
Lineage: Eukaryota; Metazoa; Arthropoda; Malacostraca; Decapoda; Palaemonidae
Exons: 3
Source: RefSeq, a predicted model, not a curated record
CCAUCUGCCAGGAAGAAGCUGGGUCUCUCUCUCUCUGGUCAUUCCACAAGUUGCCUGGUGCCACUUAACCUCAGUGCAGGUCCAGAUGCAGAAGCAAGGCCCCCUGUUCCUUUCGCAGACCAAUCUGGAUUCUGCAAAGAUCCAUCCCCGGUUUCUAGUUUGUCUCUUUAUUUAGAAACCACAGACAACUACAGCGAGGGACAAGAGACCGAGAUGAGGGACAACUACAGUGUGAAGGUUUGCUGCUGCUAGACUUCGAUAUUUCUGGGUGAUUCCUGGGAAUGGCUAGCCUCUGUGGAAACAGCCUAACAUCCAAUAUCUAGUGUCUGCAACCUGUCCCCACCUGCCCACGAGUUGUGCGGGACGGAAGUCAUCUCCAAAGGUCCAGGAAGACGAUACAUCAGCUGAAUGUGACAUUUAAAAGAUAAUCACAGAAACUCUUGAAGACAACUGGAACCAAGUCUUACAAAAAAGCUGUGGAGAUUAGAGGCAACAGACUGAGGCAAAGUAAUUGUAGGUUUUAGUCUGGGUUCGAAUCCCUCCCUCCCUCCUUCUCCAAUGGU